Molecule: long non-coding RNA, 2268 nt
Filed under: Equus caballus (horse)
Lineage: Eukaryota; Metazoa; Chordata; Mammalia; Perissodactyla; Equidae
Description: lncRNA (ENSECAG00000053328.1)
Source: RNAcentral
ACCAUUCAGAGGCCUCGACAAGAGUUUCCUUAAGGCUGAGGAACCCGGGCGCCUGUGACUGACUCACGCGUGGGUGUCUGAGGCCAGGAUGGUGGCUGAAGCUGACUUGGCUUGAGUGCAGAGUAAAGAGAGUUAUAUUGGGAGAUUCUUCAUUUCCACAGAAGGAAGGCAAAGGUGCAUGCCUUCCAUGAACCAGAGGAGUGUCUGAGGAAGGGUGCCAACCCUGGAGUAGCUCAAAAGGAAUUGUUGCAAAGAACGGCCAGGAGGGGCAAGGUUAGAAACAAAGUAACUUAGAUCCUGGAACUAGAAGGAGCCUUACACCUUUUGAACUGCUAUGGACUUAAUGUUGCACAAGAUAUUUUUACUCUUAAUAAUUACAAAUUUAUUUACAAGUGGAAUAAUGAGAAAAUGACAAAGUGUGUUUCUGAUAACAUAUUAUUAAAUAGAAGAAAAUAAAACCCUUAAAAAAUCCUGUUUACAGGCUAAGAUUUACAGACAUUUGUUAUAUAAUCAUGCUUCCUUUACUUGUGACAAUGUUGUGCUCGAUAAGCUGCAACUAUGUUCCUAGGUCUUGAUACCACAUAGCACAAAAGAUAAUUUAUAUCAGAUAUUAUAAAAGAAGGAAACAAAUUAUGCACAUUUGCUACUUUCUAACAUUUCCAUUAAAUCAUAGAAAAAUCCCAACUGUCAAGGUCCCAAAUAAGAAAAGAACACUUGGAUAUCAUCCAAUGACAAUCAUUUAGGUUUUAAAUCAUGGAGUCCAAUCAUCUCAUCUCUUUGAAAGCAGUGACAAGGUUGCAUCCACAGAGCUUGACCAUGAAAUAAAAGUAUUUGUCUCUCCUGCUUGACCUUGGGGGAAUUUGAAACAAAAUGAAAGAAAUCUCACAGGUUGAGAACUGAGAAACAUUGAUAUUAUCUUCAGCAGAAAAUAAGAGACUUUUAAAAAAUAAAGUUUUGAUUGAUUGCUGACUGUCAGUUCUGAAAAUUAAUCUCAUCACAUAAUAAAAAAGUUCUAAGUUUAUUAAUUACAGAAAAAGAAAUGCAUGGUUAGCAUUUAUGGUAUUUGUUAAACUUUCUAAUACAAACAUAAUAUUUUAUGAUUCUAGGAUUUAUUUGGUGACUUCAGAGUAUUGAUAAUACUCUGAAAUUUAUAACCUAUCAGGCUAUUUUAUCACCCAUCUUCUCUCAAAUCUCUGACUUCUAUUUUCCUCUUCUAUUUUUAUUCUUUUAUGUCCAACUUAUUUUUUUUGAUUUUUAAAAAUUUUAAAUUGAAAACCAUUUACAUACACAGAAUACUUGCAAUAAUAACGCAAUGAACUUCCAUAUGUCCUUCACCUGGGUCCAGUCAUUGUCAUUAGUUUACCGUUUUUACUUCUUAUCCCUCAUAGAAGUAAAUACAACUAUCAUAGUACAUUUUAUUAUUAUUAUUAUUUUUUAUGGAACCAUUUGAAAAAAAAUGUUGCAGACUUCAUGGUCCUUCACUCCUAAAUACUUUAGGACGUGUUUCCUAGGAAUAAAUAAAUCCCCCUUUUAUUCACAGGUAACAACUGGGCUCCUAUUUCCUGAGCCCCAGAACUGGACAAACGUCCAUGCCUCAUUACGAGAUAUGGGAGAAGGUCUUUAGCACCACGCGUACAUGGAGGAAAAAUUCCUCAAGGACACUCAUGCUCUGCAGCAGGUUCAGAGGAAGAGAGUAAAGCAGAAGCCAGCGGUGCAUGACCAACUUCUCCUUCCUAAUCUUCCAGUUAGGUUAAGCCCUGGCUUGACCCCUUGGGAAAACAGUGUGAAAGUGAAGCACCAGCAGAGGGUUACACAACACACUGAUGGAGCUCUAUGGGCAAAACACCAAGCGCAUGAAAGAAGCUUGUGUCCUAAAUGUGUCAUACAUUAGCAGUGUUCUGAAUGUUUUACUGUGCUGAUUGGGCUAGAUAAACGAACAUUCAUUUCACUAAAAAAACCAAAAACAAUGCAAAUGGUCCUCAACCAUCCAUAAGCUACACAGUCUCAUUCUCAUGCAUAAUGAAAGAAAUAAAACUACGAGAUACCAUUUCUCAUCUAUUUGUUUGGCAAAUAUUAAAAAAUUUGACAACACACUCUGUUGACACACUAAUAGAAACACAGGCACUCAUCACUGGUGGGAGUGCAACAUUUGGAAAUGUCUAACAAAAUUAUAUAAAAAUUUACCCUUUCGUCCAGUAAUCUUGCUUCUAGGAAUAUAUCCCAAAGGCACACUGGCAGAAAGCACCACCACCAACAAAAUAACACAUA